RNAcentral lists this ribosomal RNA (466 nucleotides) under uncultured bacterium. RNAcentral's name for it is "bacterial SSU rRNA". It matches the Rfam family "Bacterial small subunit ribosomal RNA", at positions 330 to 794 of the family's 1533-position model. The record is from RNAcentral.
UCCAGACUCCUACGGGAGGCAGCAGUGAGGAAUAUUGGUCAAUGGGCGUAAGCCUGAACCAGCCAAGUCGCGUGAGGGACGACGGCCCUACGGGUUGUAAACCUCUUUUGCCGGGGGACAAACGGCGGCACGCGUGCCGCCCUGAGGGUACCCGGAGAAAAAGCAUCGGCUAACUCCGUGCCAGCAGCCGCGGUAAUACGGAGGAUGCGAGCGUUAUCCGGAUUUAUUGGGUUUAAAGGGUACGCAGGCGGAGGUGCAAGUCAGUGGUCAAAUUGCGGGGCUCAACCCCGUACUGCCGUUGAAACUGCAUCCCUUGAGUGCGCGAGAAGUAUGCGGAAUGCGUGGUGUAGCGGUGAAAUGCAUAGAUAUCACGCAGAACUCCGAUUGCGAAGGCAGCAUACCGGCGCGCAACUGACGCUCAUGCACGAAAGCGUGGGUAUCGAACAGGAUUAGAUACCCUCGUAAA